RNAcentral lists this ribosomal RNA (506 nucleotides) under uncultured bacterium. Its description in RNAcentral is "partial 16S ribosomal RNA". It matches the Rfam family "Bacterial small subunit ribosomal RNA", at positions 355 to 852 of the family's 1533-position model. The record is from RNAcentral.
UAGGGAAUCUUCCACAAUGGACGAAAGUCUGAUGGAGCAACGCCGCGUGAGUGAUGAAGGGUUUCGGCUCGUAAAACUCUGUUGUUGGAGAAGAACAGGUGUGAGAGUAACUGUUCACAUCUUGACGGUAUCCAACCAGAAAGCCACGGCUAACUACGUGCCAGCAGCCGCGGUAAUACGUAGGUGGCAAGCGUUGUCCGGAUUUAUUGGGCGUAAAGCGAGCGCAGGCGGUUUCUUAGGUCUGAUGUGAAAGCCUUCGGCUUAACCGGAGAAGUGCAUCGGAAACCAGGAGACUUGAGUGCAGAAGAGGACAGUGGAACUCCAUGUGUAGCGGUGAAAUGCGUAGAUAUAUGGAAGAACACCAGUGGCGAAGGCGGCUGUCUGGUCUGUAACUGACGCUGAGGCUCGAAAGCAUGGGUAGCGAACAGGAUUAGAUACCCUGGUAGUCCAUGCCGUAAACGAUGAGUGCUAAGUGUUGGAGGGUUUCCGCCCUUCAGUGCUGCAGC